RNAcentral lists this long non-coding RNA (1074 nucleotides) under Macaca mulatta (Rhesus monkey). Its description in RNAcentral is "lncRNA (ENSMMUG00000055687.1)". The record is from RNAcentral. Lineage: Eukaryota; Metazoa; Chordata; Mammalia; Primates; Cercopithecidae.
GUGAAGGGUUAAGAGUAGGGGGGAGAUUGGUAGUAGAAGAGUGGAGAUUAGGCGUAUAUAAAAGUAUAGGUUAAGUAGGGUUAUGAUAGUUAUAAUAGAGGGGAUGAGGAAGUUGUUGUUCAUUGUGAGUUCUUGGAUGAUAAUUCAUUUAGGUAGGAAGCCGGUUAGGGGUGGUAGGCCUCCUAGAGAUAUGAGAAUGGGUGCUAUUAGCGGUGCUAGGUGGGUUGAUUUGUUUCAGGUGCGGGAUAGUAUGAGGGUUGUGGUGCUUGAGCUUAAGUUGAGGGUUAGGAAUAUGGUAGUUGUUAGGAUAAUGUAUGUAGUUAAAUAGAAAAUUGUAGUUGCUGGGUUGUAUACAAGUGUUAUCAUUAUUCAACCCAUGUGUGUGAUUGAAGAGUACCCUAGGAUCUUGCGUAAUUGUGUUUGGUUUAGACCUCCUCAACUGCCUACCGCAAUGGAUAGGGUGGAGAGGGUUAGGAGGAUGUGGGUGUUGAUUGAUGGGUGAAUUUGGUACAUGAUUGAGAUGGGGGCUAGUUUUUGUCAUGUAAGAAGGAGUAGACCUGAGGUUAGGGGUGUUCCUUGGGUGACUUCUGGGACUCAGAAGUGGAAGGGGGCUAUUCCUAGUUUUAUGGCGAGGGCGGUUGUUAUUAUUAGGGAUGGGGGUUGGCUGAUGUAGUUCGUUGUUGUUCAGCACCCUGAUAGCAGGUUGUUGGAGAUGAUUGCUAUUAUGAGGACUAUAGAUGCGGUAGAUUGAAUUAGGAAGUAUUUAGUAGCGGCUUCUGUGGAGCGGAGGCUUGUUUUUUUUAUUAAGAUCGGAAUGAAAGCUAGUAUGUUUAUUUCUAGGCCUGUUCAGGCGAGAAAUCAGUGUGAGCUUAGUGUUGUGAUAAGUGUGCCUGUGAUUAUUGUGGUGUAGAUAAUGGGUUGAGCUAGUGGGUUAAUUAGUACGGGAAGGAUGUGACCAACAUUUUCGGGGUAUGGGCCCGAUAGCUUGUUUAGCUGACCUUACUUUAGGAUAGAGUGUGUAGGGUAGCACGGAGAAGUUUGGAUUCUCAGGGGUAGGUUCGAUACCUACAGUCC